This 275-nucleotide ribosomal RNA is filed under the name uncultured bacterium. RNAcentral describes it as "partial 16S ribosomal RNA". It matches the Rfam family "Bacterial small subunit ribosomal RNA", at positions 399 to 691 of the family's 1533-position model. The record is from RNAcentral.
GCGUGAGUGACGGAGGCCCUAGGGUUGUAAAGCUCUUUUGGCGGGGACGAUAAUGACGGUACCCGCAGAAUAAGCUCCGGCUAACUUCGUGCCAGCAGCCGCGGUAAUACGAAGGGAGCUAGCGUUGUUCGGAAUCACUGGGCGUAAAGCGCACGUAGGCGGAUUGUUUAGUCGGGGGUGAAAUCCCGGGGCUCAACCCCGGAACUGCCUCCGAUACUGGCAAUCUGGAGUCCGGAAGAGGUGGGUGGAAUUCCUAGUGUAGAGGUGAAAUUCUU